CUGAGAUAAAUUUGCAAGAGCAUAUUCAAGAUCAAAAAGAUGAGACGUGUUGACAUGAGAGUAGGCCUUAGCGUCUGCAAGAGCAGUGGCAUCAUCAGCUGCCUAUUUCUCAGCAGUCAUUAGCUUCUCUACGGGUGUUGUUUUGUCGGUGGAAAUCGGGGAGGCAGUGUCGAUAGAAUCGGAGGAGGUAGCUAAGAGAGAGAGAGUGGAAGUUGUCGGCAUAGAGCAAGAUCCAUCGAGAUACAAAAGAAGUCCAUUAUCUUGAAUGAAAGCCUGAAACGAGAACUCCCAAAUAGCAUAAUUUUUUUCAUUGAAACCAACACCAAAUGAAUC
RNAcentral lists this long non-coding RNA (333 nucleotides) under Linum usitatissimum (flax). Its description in RNAcentral is "long non-coding RNA (LUSI_LNC003835)". Lineage: Eukaryota; Viridiplantae; Streptophyta; Magnoliopsida; Malpighiales; Linaceae. The record is from RNAcentral.